AACUUUCAACAACGGAUCUCUUGGUUCUGGCAUCGAUGAAGAACGCAGCGAAAUGCGAUAAGUAAUGUGAAUUGCAGAAUUCAGUGAAUCAUCGAAUCUUUGAACGCACAUUGCGCCCUGUGGUAUUCCGCAGGGCAUGCCUGUUCGAGCGUCAUUAUAACCACUCAAGCCUGGCUUGGUGUUGGGGUUUGCGGUUCCG
This 199-nucleotide ribosomal RNA is filed under the name Mollisia scopiformis. Its description in RNAcentral is "Phialocephala scopiformis 5.8S ribosomal RNA". The stretch from base 1 to 154 matches the Rfam family "5.8S ribosomal RNA". Rfam says of the family: 5.8S ribosomal RNA (5.8S rRNA) is a component of the large subunit of the eukaryotic ribosome. It is transcribed by RNA polymerase I as part of the 45S precursor that also contains 18S and 28S rRNA. Lineage: Eukaryota; Fungi; Ascomycota; Leotiomycetes; Helotiales; Mollisiaceae. The record is from RNAcentral.